AAAGCUCAAAAGUAUUGAGUAAAUCUUUGAAUAUGUGAGUAUAAAAUUUACACUGCACUUUUGAGUGGGCAUAAUAUGUAAAAAGAGUAAAAGCUAAAUCUCAAAAUCCAUCUACUGACUUAUCAUUCACAAUAUCAGUCAAAAACACUUUUCAUUUGCACAAGAGUGAUUCUUCAAUCUCCUUUUUUAUUACAUUUAUCACCUAAACAAUUUCAAUAGCAUUAGGAGAUACCACCUGGGUUUAGGUUUGAGGGUUUGUUCGUAAACUUCUAUUGGCGAAAGUGGUAGCAACAUGCAUAUACUAAAUUGCAUUCAAAUUUUAAUCCAUAUUUAACUUGUUCGAAUCAUAUUUAACUAGUAAAUUAACAAACACUUCGUACUACAGUAAAAAUUGACAUAAAAAAUUUGCGCAUUCGGA
This 418-nucleotide long non-coding RNA is filed under the name Ananas comosus (pineapple). RNAcentral's name for it is "long non-coding RNA (ACOM_LNC040181)". The record is from RNAcentral. Lineage: Eukaryota; Viridiplantae; Streptophyta; Magnoliopsida; Poales; Bromeliaceae.